AUGGAAACGCCUGAUGUCAUUGACCUUCGGAAGUCACAGAUGAAGGAAGCAGAUAAUAACCAGGCAGAAAGGUCAUUAUACCAGGUUCUUGAACAGAAGGAAGAAAGGACCGCCUCUGCCGGGGCACUGUACAUGUUGAACCAUGCUUAUGAAUGCUUUCCUAACCAAACCCCUAUCAUGCAGUCCUCCCUCAAUUCAUGCUUAGCUUGUCAAACCAUAAAAACACAACUCACAAGCUGUAUGCUCACUCUCGCUUUAAUCACAGGUACGUGCUGGUGGGAGCACAAGAUAAACCAACAUCGUCGUCGUCGUCAUCAGGCCCAAAAAGGAACCAGGGGCUGGAGAGAGUGGACGUCACCAUCCACCUGGACCAGCUCGACGCCGUGCACGACACUCUGGCGGCAAAGCAAGACCGUCUCACCGGCCAUUUUCUGCUGCAGACUGCAGGGAUUAUGCAUGGUGCCGCAUGUUUUGGUUACCUACCUAUGUGUUUCGGUUGACAGGUACAGGGAGUUAUGGGAGGAGGGAGAGUGCGCCGGCAAGAGGAAGAGGAGUGGGAAGAUCGGCGGGGAAGGGAGCUAG
This 582-nucleotide ribosomal RNA is filed under the name Triticum aestivum (bread wheat). RNAcentral describes it as "partial small subunit ribosomal RNA". The record is from RNAcentral. Lineage: Eukaryota; Viridiplantae; Streptophyta; Magnoliopsida; Poales; Poaceae.